Long non-coding RNA from Anneissia japonica, 322 nucleotides. RefSeq lists it as uncharacterized. The record is from RefSeq and is a predicted model, not a curated record. NCBI's taxonomy places the organism in Eukaryota, Metazoa, Echinodermata, Crinoidea, Comatulida, Comatulidae. The transcript is spliced from 3 exons.
AGGUUGCUAAAUAUAAGACUUACAACAUUGGUUUGAGAUCAUCAUAUGGACAAGAAUGGUUUAAAUUGAAAAAGUGGCAGAGAAGCUUGGAAUUUCAAUUAAUGGUGCUUUGGCUAUCAUUGGUGACUGCUUGAUUGGUUUGCUGUCAACUCUCACAAUUUUGUAAGAUCCUGCUGCCUUGGACUGUGUCGUAACUUUUCUAGUAUUGCGUUGUUUCAGAGAAAUUGUGACAGACUGUUUCUCUAUAAGUUCUGAUGGUGUUGAGAGAUUUGAUUAGGCCAAACCAUAGGGUGUAAAGAUGUGUCAGAGGUAUCUCUAAAGG